UACGAAGGGGGCUAGCGUUGCUCGGAAUCACUGGGCGUAAAGCGCACGUAGGCGGCUUUUUAAGUCAGGGGUGAAAUCCCGGAGCUCAACUCCGGAACUGCCUCUGAUACUGAGAAGCUUGAGUUCGGGAGAGGUGAGUGGAACUGCGAGUGUAGAGGUGAAAUUCGUAGAUAUUCGCAAGAACACCAGUGGCGAAGGCGGCUCGCUGGCCCGAGACUGACGCUGAGGUGCGAAAGCGUGGGGAGCAAACAGG
Molecule: ribosomal RNA, 253 nt
Filed under: uncultured bacterium
Lineage: Bacteria
Description: partial 16S ribosomal RNA
Rfam family: Bacterial small subunit ribosomal RNA
Source: RNAcentral